RNAcentral lists this ribosomal RNA (367 nucleotides) under uncultured bacterium. RNAcentral's name for it is "bacterial SSU rRNA". It matches the Rfam family "Bacterial small subunit ribosomal RNA", at positions 29 to 429 of the family's 1533-position model. The record is from RNAcentral.
AACGAACGCUGGCGGCAGGCCUAACACAUGCAAGUCGAACGCCCUAGCAAUAGGGAGUGGCAGACGGGUGAGUAACACGUGGGAACCUUCCCUGUAGUACGGAAUAGCCCAGGGAAACUUGGAGUAAUACCGUAUACGCCCGAAAGGGGAAGAUUUAUCGCUAUAGGAUGGGCCCGCGUAGGAUUAGCUAGUUGGUGAGGUAAUGGCUCACCAAGGCGACGAUCCUUAGCUGGUUUGAGAGAACGACCAGCCACACUGGGACUGAGACACGGCCCAGACUCCUACGGGAGGCAGCAGUGGGGAAUCUUGCGCAAUGGGCGAAAGCCUGACGCAGCGACGCCGCGUGAGGGAUGACGGCCUGUGUAAC